AAAAAGGCUCUUUUAAGAGCCACUCAAGACUCGCUGAAAGAGCUGCU
This 47-nucleotide non-coding RNA is filed under the name Podarcis lilfordi (Lilford's wall lizard). It matches the Rfam family "Histone 3' UTR stem-loop". Rfam says of the family: The mRNAs of metazoan histone genes lack a poly-A tail. 3' end processing occurs at a site between a highly conserved stem-loop (modelled by this family) and a purine rich region around 20 nts downstream (the histone downstream element, or HDE). The stem-loop is bound by a 31 kDa stem-loop binding protein (SLBP - also termed the histone hairpin binding protein, or HBP). Lineage: Eukaryota; Metazoa; Chordata; Lepidosauria; Squamata; Lacertidae. The record is from RNAcentral.